RNAcentral lists this ribosomal RNA (1030 nucleotides) under uncultured Thalassiosira. RNAcentral describes it as "partial Bacterial small subunit ribosomal RNA". It matches the Rfam family "Bacterial small subunit ribosomal RNA", at positions 277 to 1311 of the family's 1533-position model. The record is from RNAcentral. Lineage: Eukaryota; Bacillariophyta; Thalassiosirophyceae; Thalassiosirales; Thalassiosiraceae.
CGAUCAGUAGGGGUUCUGAGAGGAAGGUCCCCCACACUGGAACUGAGACACGGUCCAGACUCCUACGGGAGGCAGCAGUGAGGAAUAUUGGUCAAUGGGCGAGAGCCUGAACCAGCCAAGUAGCGUGCAGGAUGACGGCCCUCCGGGUUGUAAACUGCUUUUAGUUGGGAAUAAAAAAAGGGACUUGUCCCUUCUUGUAUGUACCUUCAGAAAAAGGACCGGCUAAUUCCGUGCCAGCAGCCGCGGUAAUACGGAAGGUCCAGGCGUUAUCCGGAUUUAUUGGGUUUAAAGGGAGCGUAGGCGGAUUGUUAAGUCAGCGGUUAAAGGGUGUGGCUCAACCAUGCAUUGCCGUUGAAACUGGCGAUCUUGAGUGCAGACAGGGAUGCCGGAAUUCGUGGUGUAGCGGUGAAAUGCUUAGAUAUCACGAAGAACUCCGAUCGCGAAGGCAGGUGUCCGGGCUGCAACUGACGCUGAGGCUCGAAAGUGUGGGUAUCAAACAGGAUUAGAUACCCUGGUAGUCCACGCGGUAAACGAUGGAUGCUCGUUGUCGGCCUUUAUGGUCGGUGACCAAGCGAAAGCGUUAAGCAUCCCACCUGGGGAGUACGCCGGCAACGGUGAAACUCAAAGGAAUUGACGGGGGCCCGCACAAGCGGAGGAACAUGUGGUUUAAUUCGAUGAUACGCGAGGAACCUUACCCGGGCUUGAAUUGCAGAGGAAGGAUUUAGAGAUAAUGACGCCCUUCGGGGUCUCUGUGAAGGUGCUGCAUGGUUGUCGUCAGCUCGUGCCGUGAGGUGUCGGCUUAAGUGCCAUAACGAGCGCAACCCUUCUCCUCGGUUGCCAUCGGGUAAUGCCGGGCACUCCGUGGACACUGCCAUCGUAAGAUGUGAGGAAGGUGGGGAUGACGUCAAAUCAGCACGGCCCUUACGUCCGGGGCUACACACGUGUUACAAUGGCCGGUACAGAGGGAUGGUGUAAUGCAAAUUGCAUCAAAUCUUGAAAGCCGGUCCCAGUUCGGACUGGGGUCUGCAAC